Molecule: ribosomal RNA, 178 nt
Filed under: uncultured Pseudoscourfieldia
Lineage: Eukaryota; Viridiplantae; Chlorophyta; Pseudoscourfieldiophyceae; Pseudoscourfieldiales; Pycnococcaceae
Description: partial 23S ribosomal RNA
Rfam family: Bacterial large subunit ribosomal RNA
Source: RNAcentral
AGACGGGUUACUCCCGUCCCUCCAUAGAGUAACCGGAGGNGCUGCACAAGGUUCCCUCCGCUCGGACUGGAAAUCAGCUGUAGAGUGUAAAGGCAGAAGCGCGUGCGUUGACUGCGAGACCUACAAGUCGAGCAGGGACGAAAGUCGGCNCUUAGUGAUCCGACGGUGCGCGCAAGUG